AUGAUCAGCCACACUGGAACUGAGACACGGUCCAGACUCCUACGGGAGGCAGCAGUGGGGAAUAUUGGAAAUGGGCGCAAGCCUGAUCCAGCUAUGCCGCGUGAGUGAGGAAGGCCUUAGGGUUGUAAAACUCUUUCAGUAGGGAAGAUAAUGACGGUACCUACAGAAGAAGUCCCGGCAAACUCCGUGCCAGCAGCCGCGGUAAUACGGAGGGGGCAAGCGUUGUUCGGAAUUAUUGGGCGUAAAGGGCAUGUAGGCGGUUCGGUAAGUUAAAGGUGAAAUGCCAGGGCUUAACCCUGGAGCUGCUUUUAAUACUGCCAGACUAGAGUCCGGGAGAGGAUAGCGGAAUUCCUAGUGUAGAGGUGAAAUUCGUAGAUAUUAGGAGGAAC
RNAcentral lists this ribosomal RNA (389 nucleotides) under Anaplasma phagocytophilum. Its description in RNAcentral is "bacterial SSU rRNA". It matches the Rfam family "Bacterial small subunit ribosomal RNA", at positions 300 to 707 of the family's 1533-position model. The record is from RNAcentral. Lineage: Bacteria; Pseudomonadati; Pseudomonadota; Alphaproteobacteria; Rickettsiales; Anaplasmataceae.